GUGCUCGUUUUGGCAGCACGUAUACUAAGUCAGAAAGGUAUGGGUAAGAUUAGCUUGGCCCCUGAACAAGGAUGACACAUAAAUUCAUAAGUAUUUCAUAUGAAA
This 105-nucleotide small nuclear RNA is filed under the name Prolemur simus (greater bamboo lemur). The record is from RNAcentral. Lineage: Eukaryota; Metazoa; Chordata; Mammalia; Primates; Lemuridae.